UACGAAGGGUGCAAACGUUGCUCGGAAUUAUUGGGCGUAAAGCGCACGUAGGCGGCUCUGCAAGUCGGAUGUGAAAUCCCUCGGCUCAACCAAGGAAGUGCAUCCGAAACUGCGGAGCUUGAGUACUUAAGAGGAUCGCGGAAUUCCCGGUGUAGAGGUGAAAUUCGUAGAUAUCGGGAGGAACACCAGUGGCGAAGGCGGCGAUCUGGGAAGAUACUGACGCUGAAGUGCGAAAGCGUGGGGAGCAAACAGG
Molecule: ribosomal RNA, 253 nt
Filed under: uncultured bacterium
Lineage: Bacteria
Description: partial 16S ribosomal RNA
Rfam family: Bacterial small subunit ribosomal RNA
Source: RNAcentral